RNAcentral lists this small nuclear RNA (98 nucleotides) under Meriones unguiculatus (Mongolian gerbil). Lineage: Eukaryota; Metazoa; Chordata; Mammalia; Rodentia; Muridae. The record is from RNAcentral.
UUUUUCACUUCGGCAGUACAUAUACUAAAAUUGGAAUGAUACAGAGAAGAUUAACAUGGCCCCUGCUCAAGGAUGACAUGCAAAUUCUGUUUAUUUUU